This 465-nucleotide ribosomal RNA is filed under the name uncultured bacterium. RNAcentral describes it as "partial 16S ribosomal RNA". It matches the Rfam family "Bacterial small subunit ribosomal RNA", at positions 28 to 507 of the family's 1533-position model. The record is from RNAcentral.
GACGAACGCUGGCGGCGUGCUUAACACAUGCAAGUCGAACGGAAAGGCCCUGCUUGCAGGGUACUCGAGUGGCGAACGGGUGAGUAACACGUGGGUGAUCUGCCCUGCACUUCGGGAUAAGCCUGGGAAACUGGGUCUAAUACCGGACAGGAGCCAUUUUUAGUGUGAUGGUUGGAAAGUUUUUUCGGUGUAGGAUGAGCUCGCGGCCUAUCAGCUUGUUGGUGGGGUAAUGGCCUACCAAGGCGGCGACGGGUAGCCGGCCUGAGAGGGUGGACGGCCACAGUGGGGAUGAGAGACGGCCCAGACGCCGACGGGAGGCAGCAGGGGGGGAUAUUGCGCAAUGGGCGCAAGCCCGGAUGAACGAAGCCGCCGUGGGGAGUAACGCCUUCGGGUUGGUAACGGCUUUCGCCAGGGACGAAGCUUUUUGUGACGGUACCUAGAUAAGAAGCACCGGCUAACUACGUG